This 2904-nucleotide ribosomal RNA is filed under the name Triticum aestivum (bread wheat). RNAcentral's name for it is "partial small subunit ribosomal RNA". Lineage: Eukaryota; Viridiplantae; Streptophyta; Magnoliopsida; Poales; Poaceae. The record is from RNAcentral.
AUGACUCCCCUGCUCCCCCUCCUCCUCCUGGGCCUCCUCCUCGCCGCCGCCUCUGCCGCGCCCCUUCCCGCCGACUUCACCCGCCUCCUCGCCGCCAAGGCCACCCUCUCCGACCCCGCCUCCGCGCUCGCGGCAUGGGACCCGUCCCUCUCCCCCUCCCUCUCCCCGUGCCGCUGGCCGCACGUCCUCUGCCGGUCCUCCGCUGACCCAGCCAUCGCCUCGCUCCUCCUCUCCAACCUCUCCCUCGCCGGGGAGUUCCCGGCCCAGCUCUGCUCGCUGGCGUUCCUCCUGCGCCUCGACCUCUCCUACAACUCGCUCGCCGGCCCCCUCCCUCCCUGCCUCGCCGCGCUGCCGAACUUGAGGCACCUCGACCUCGCCGGGAACGCCUUCUCCGGAGAGGUGCCCAGCAGCUACGGCGCGGGGUUCGCCUCGCUCGCCACGCUCAGCCUCGCCGGCAACGACCUCUCCGGCGGGUUCCCGGCGUUCUUGGCGAAUGUCAGCUCCCUCCAGGAGCUCCUGCUCGCGUACAACCCCUUCGCGCCCUCGCCUGUGCCGGACGUUUUCCCCAGCGGGCUCCCGCGCCUCCGCGUCCUGUGGCUCGCCGGGUGCUGCCUCGUCGGGCGGAUACCGUCUUCCAUCGGCGGCUUGAGGAGCCUCGUCAACCUCGACCUCUCCACCAACAACCUCACCGGCGAGAUCCCGGAGAGCAUCGGGCGCUUGGAGAACCUCGUCCAGAUCGAGCUCUACAAGAAUAACCUCUCCGGGAGGCUGCCGGGGGGACUGGGCGGGCUCAAGAAGCUGAGGUUCUUGGACGCCGCCAUGAACAGGCUGUCCGGCGAGAUACCGGCGGACCUGUUCCUCGCGCCGAGGCUGGAGAGCUUGCACCUGUACGAGAACGAGCUGUCAGGCCCCGUGCCGUCGACGCUGGAUAAGGCGCCUGCGUUGAACGACCUGAGGCUGUUCAGUAACCGCCUCGUCGGGGAGUUGCCGGAGUUCGGGAAGAACUGCCCGCUCAAGUUCCUCGACCUGUCAGACAACCGGAUUUCCGGCUGCAUUCCGGCGACUCUCUGCAGCGCGGGGAAGCUGGAGCAGCUUCUGAUUCUGAACAACGAGCUCGCGGGCUCGAUUCCGACGGAGCUGGGGCAAUGCCGGACGUUGACGCGUGUGCGGCUGCCCAACAAUCGGCUGUCUGGAGCCGUGCCGCCGGACAUGUGGGGCCUGCCACGCCUGUACCUGCUGGAGCUCGCCGGCAACGCUCUGUCCGGCACCGUGGGGCCAACCAUUGCCUUGGCGAAGAACCUGUCGCAGCUGCUGAUAUUCGACAACCACUUCGCCGGCGUGCUGCCGGCGCAUAUAGGCAGCCUGACAAGGCUGGUCGAGCUGUCGGCCGCCAACAACGGGUUCUCCGGUCCUCUGCCGGCGACACUGGCUGAUGUGUCCACGCUCGCCCGGCUUGAUUUACGGAACAAUUCCUUCUCCGGCGAGCUGCCACAUGGUGUUCGACGGUGGCAGAAGCUUACACAGCUCGACCUUGCACAUAACCGUCUCACCGGGACCAUCCCACCGGAGCUCGGGGAGCUCCCUGUGCUGAAUUCGCUUGACCUGUCCAACAACGAGUUCACCGGCGGCGUGCCUUUGCAAUUGGAGAGCCUUAAACUGAGCAUGUUCAACCUGUCCAACAACCGGCUCGCCGGCAAUUUGCCUCCUCUGUUCUCCGGCGACAUCUAUAAUGACAGCUUCUUGGGCAACCCGGCCCUCUGUCGAGGCGCAUGCUUCGGUGCGCGGAGAGCAGCCGCCCGCCGCCACAGCCUCGUCGGGAGCGUCGAGUCCGUGCUCACCAUUGCCGUCGCCAUACUCAUCCUUGGCGUCGCGUGGUUCUGGCACAAGUACCGGAGCCAGAGCCAGCACAGGAAGCGCGGCCCGCAGCCCGGCGACAACAAGUGGGUAGUCACCUCGUUCCACAAUGUGGAGUUCGAGGAGGAGGACCUCCUGAGCUGUCUCGACGACGAGGACAACGUGGUUGGCACGGGCGCGUCGGGCAAGGUGUACAGAGCCGUCCUCGGGAACGAGGAUGUCGUGGCCGUCAAGAAGCUGCGGGCCGUCGGCGGCGCCGCCGCGGCGAGGAAACACAAGGACGGCAUGAAGGACAGCUUAGAGGCGGAGGUGGCGACGCUGGGCAGGAUCCGGCACAAGAACAUCGUGAAGCUGUGGUGCUGCCUCCGCAGCGGUGACCGCGGGCUGCUGGUCUACGAGUACAUGCCCAACGGCAGCCUGGGCGACCUCCUCCACGGCGGCAAAGGAGGCCUGCUGGACUGGCCGAUGCGGCGCAGGAUCAUGGUCGACGCCGCGGAGGGGCUCUCCUACCUCCACCAUGACUGCGCGCCGCCGAUCGUGCACCGGGACGUCAAGUCCAACAACAUCCUGCUGGACGCCGAGUUCGGCGCCAAGGUCGCCGACUUCGGCGUCGCCCGGGUCAUCGACGACAACCGCAGCGGCCCCAACGCCGUGUCAGCCAUCGCCGGCUCCUGCGGCUACAUCGCUCCCGAGUACUCGUACACGCUGCGCGUCACGGAGAAGAGCGACGUGUACAGCUUCGGCGUGGUGAUGCUGGAGCUGGUGACCGGCAAGAGGGCCGUGGGGCCGGAGCUCGGCGACAAGGACCUGGUGAGGUGGGUGCGCGGCGGCAUCGAGCGCGAGGGGCUGGACUCGGUGCUGGACCCGAGGCUCGCCGGCGAGUCCUGCAGCUGCAGGGACGAGAUGCGCAGGGUGCUCGGCGUGGCGCUGCUCUGCGCCUCCAGCCUCCCGAUCAACCGGCCGUCGAUGAGGUCCAUCGUGAAGCUGCUCCUCGAGGUCAGAAGCAAGCCCGCCGUGGUGGUGGAGGAGAAGGAACCUCUCGACGUGUGA